This 3037-nucleotide unclassified non-coding RNA is filed under the name Eurytemora carolleeae. RNAcentral describes it as "uncharacterized LOC111701332". Lineage: Eukaryota; Metazoa; Arthropoda; Copepoda; Calanoida; Temoridae. The record is from RNAcentral.
CCGGUCCUAAAUCCUGCAAUUGUUUCAGAGAAUAUUUGAAUCCGUUGAGUUGGGUAGAACAUUGGUAUUCCAGUACUAGCAACAGUACAGCUAUGUACAGCCAGCAAAACAAGCCUGAAAGUAAACUAAAGCUGGAGCUUUGGGAGGAAUCAGGAUUGAGGCAGAAUAUACCUCUAUGGGAUGUUGGUUCUAGAAGUGUACAUACUGUAGAUGUUUAUCAGCAGCCCUGUAGAUCUGCGCUAAUUAACAUGGCUUCUGAUAUGCUGCUGCAGUACGUUUGUAAACAAACAUCACCUUCUCCGUACAGAUUAGCUGGUGAGACCCUGGCCAAAUCCAACCUGAAUCCCAACGCUAAGGAGUUUACCCCUAGGGGUCUCCUUCACCCCUAUAUAUCCCAGGAGAAACUAGAGGAGAUGAUUGAAGAGGAUAGAUUAGUCAACCAGGUCCUUAAAACUUCACUCAAGGAGGCCUUGGCUCCGAAGAAUCUAGGUAGUUUAGGGACUUUAGAGGUUGACAUGAAGAUGUUAAGUGUAAAUAGAACCGAGUUAUUAAACAAAGACAUUGACCCUUGCUUCAUGUUAAAACAAACAAGUAGUAAUCUAUCUGUUAAUAAGAAAUGUACCAACAAGAGCUGUGAUGUAAAUAUACAGAAAUCUACUGUAGAGUCUUCAGAUUGUGAUAAAUAUGAAGAUUUGUCUGUAAAAUCUUCCAGUUUUGAUGCACAUGAGAACAAAUCAUUUGAAGAAACUGCAAAUAUCGAUCCACACACAGAGAAGUUAACUGAUAAACAAUUAGAAAACUGUGAUGAACUAAUAAUUGAUAAAGAUGGAGUUCAGGCUCGAACUGAAGAUGGGACUAAAGCUGUUGAACUUGUACAGGAUCAUUUCCAUAACAAUGUUAAGAAUGAGCAUACCGGAGAACUUGGAGAAACUAACGACGAUGUCACUAAGUUUGAAAGUCUCAAGAAUUCAGAUCUUCCAAGUUCAAAUAGCUCUGACGAAAGUAUAUUUAAUCCUUGUCAAACCACAGAUACAGGUUCUUCCAAUUCUCUUUUAAACCAACUGGAAAGCAUCCAAUUAGAGAACCUUACGCCAUUACUCAGCCAAUCAGAAUCCAACUCUUCCACUAGACAACCAGAUGAUUGUUUACUUUUCUCUAACCAAUCAGGAUCCAACUCCUUAGCUUUCAGCCAAUCAGAAUCGAGCAUAAGCAGCCAAUCAGAUCAAUCUGAUCUUAGCUCAUCUCCCGGCUCUUCAAUAGGAAGUUUUUCAAGAAAUCUAAGUGAGAGUUCUGAGGAUGAUUUUGUUCAGUUUCUGAGUCCUAGAUUAGUUUUAUCAAGGGAAGAGAAGAAAUCUGUAGGAUCAGUCUCGACCAUUCAAAAGGAUACGAAGACAGAUGAUGAGAAUGUGGAGACUGAAACAGCUGAUGAGGAUGAAGAUUGGGACGAGGUUGAUGGUGAUGAUAUCCCUGCCCCUGAAUUUGAUUUGGAAUUUCUGUCACCUUUGUUUUUAACAAACAGCACUGGGGCCACACAGUGUUCCGCCCUUUCUUCUGCCAACCCCAACCCCGCCCUGUCCUCACUGAAACCUAGCUCCCCCUUCCCUAGUAUCAAACCUAGCUACGACCCUAGAAUCCAACCUAGCUCCGCCUCCCCUAGUAUCCAACCUAGCUUCACCCCUCCUAGUAUUCAACCUAGCUCCGCCUCCCCUAGUAUCCAACCUAGCUCCGCCUCCCCUUAUUGCCAACCUUGCUCCACCUCACCUAGUAUCCAACCUUGCUCCGCCUCCCGCCAACCUAGCUCCGCCUGUCCCCGACUUCACUUCUCCCUCUGUGUUUACCCUCGAAUCACGAAGGAGGAAACUAGGAAAGAAUCAAACUUGUUUGAGCUAAGGAUGAAGGAUGAUACACCAAAGAUAUCUGAUCUGAAUAUUGAAGAUGAAGAAGUUAAGAUCUCAACUCUAGAAAAGAUAAAUAGAAUCUGGAAUGCAGUACCUAAUGUUGCCAGGAAGAAUAUGGUGGUUGUACAGUUUAGUUCAGAUCCAGACACUCUUCAUUGGGAACCAGAGGGACAAGUAGAUAAUCUUAAACAGGCUCGAAUUAGUGAUUUCCAGACUCGUAAAGCUGAUAUGGAACGCAUGCAUCGACUUCUUAGUCCUAUCCUAACAACUCAGCAUAGACAGAAAAUAUACUCAAAACUAUAUUUAUGAUCAAGUUUGGCAAUUAAGAAGAUAAACUAGAAAAAAAAUACUACUGAUAAAAUUCAGCUAAACUGUAAUUCGUCUCGACAGCAUUCUUUCAUCCCCGAUGCUGAAAUGUACAAUAGAUGCAGGACACGUAGUUGUACAGCUCAUGCAUGUUACGUACAGUACAUGAACCAGUGCAGUUUUCAAUGUACAAUUACCCUCAGUCCUCACCACUACUAGUCAUUGGAUUAUAUUUUAGUAUAUAUGAUAUGAUAUCAGCAUCAAACUAUAGGUUAUAUUAUUUCAAUGCUUCACGGACAGUGUUCACUAAAUAAGUUCGCGCACAUAUUUUUAUCCAAAAUCUUUAACACUAACUUGAACCAGAUUUAAGAUUGACGAGAAGAAGCUGAACUGCUUCUCUUGUUUAGUGUGAUUCAACUAAGUCCUCGUAGUUCCAACAACUUCACAUCAUGAAGUCUGGUUCAUGAACAAUUAAUAUUAUUUAAUGUGUACAUUUAUCAUUCAUUAAAGCUCAGAGUAUUUAUUUAUAUUAUAAGGGGAUUUAUAUAGCUUGGCGAUUAAAUUAUUUUUAAUAUUGUUGAACUCCAGUGUGAUCACAAAUAUUGUCAGAAAAGUCAAAUAUUUUUUUAUUUUGUCACGUGUUAUAUUUCCAAUAUAGUUAAGUACGAGGUCGACUUAAGUCACUUCUGGUACAGUUCUUAAUGAUCAUAAUUGCUUCCCAAGAACUCUGAAAACUUGUUUCAAAUCCCACGUUUGUUGGUAAUUCCUGUAUCUAUUAAUUAUAAUUUAUAAUGCACAAAAUGCUUGUCAAUAUAUUUAAAAACUAUUUAUUA